Molecule: long non-coding RNA, 5392 nt
Organism: Panicum virgatum (switchgrass)
Lineage: Eukaryota; Viridiplantae; Streptophyta; Magnoliopsida; Poales; Poaceae
Exons: 5
Source: RefSeq, a predicted model, not a curated record
AGUCAGGAUUAAUUCGCCCCUGCCGCGCGUCCUCGCGGCGCCCCCUCGCUCCGGAUCUCGCCCUCGCCGCAGUGGCCGGCGGCGUGGAUCCGCUUCCUCCCUGGCCCGGCUCGGGUCCAUGGCAUCCAUGGCCGGCGAGGUCCUCCUCUCUCACCUCCGCCCGGCCGCCGGCGCCCGCGUCCUCCUCCAUCCUUCGGCGCCCGUCCUCCUCCGUGCACGGAUCUGGGCGCCAGCGCUACUGUUGUCUUUGGAGGCUGGGGUCGUGGUACCCAUUCAUGCUACGGUACCCUAGGAUGGCUGUGGUCGCCGGCAAAACAGGAGAAGGAGGAAGAAGCGUGUGCAACCUGGAGGCUGCGAAGGGGGCGGCGGAGGUGAGGGAGAAUGUGACGGUGUUUGGCGGUGAUCGAGCUGACAUGCGUCGCGUGUGCGGGUUCGGUGGAGAAGGCCAUGAAGUGUCUCCCAGGUCGAUCUGUGUGCUGCCGUCAUCGACAUCCUUGGUCUUCUACGCCUUCGUCGGUGAGUAUCGAUCCCCCAUUGAGCUAUUUCCAUAUGACACUACAGAUGAUGGCUGAUGCUUUUUUCUGAUUGAUCAUCGCCGAUGUUGUUUUCUACCGAUUCAAUCCAUUGAGCUCCUUGCCAAUCGAUUCAAUCCAUGGUUCGGCGUGGUCGAGGCUGUCGACUUCGGCGCCCACGCGGGCACGCACCGGCGGCUCGGCGUUGAGGACCACAUCAUCUUCCAUCCCUCCCUUCCCCUAUCCCCUUCGGCCAUCCGCAUCGCGCCGCCCUCCGAAUCCUCGCUUCCUUCCUCGGCGGAGGGCGAGCAUCCGAGCCAUCGAUAGGGGCUGAAGCGGAGCAGCAGAUGUAGUGGACGCGAGUUCCCCGUUCGCAUCGCCUGCCAUCCUGAUCCAUGCUGCCCCGGACUGCGAGUAGGGGUCUGAGCGGCGGCGGGCCGGAGUUCGAUCCUACAGGAGCUCCUGCAGAUGGAUCGAAGUCCUACAGGGCGUGUGACGAUGCUCUUCGUGCAGUAUUCCCGGCCAACAUCCGCUUGAUGAAAUGCGAUAACUUGAAGGCUCUUGCUGAUCCCUGCAUCGACUGUGAACUCAUGAUCAUCUUGAUUGAUCUGAUCCUGCAGAAGACAAGGGUGUACCACCAUAUUCUGUUUAAUAAGCUUAGCAUGUGGGAUUAUCUGUUGACAAGGUAUGAAUCUAUGAUGUCCAGACAGAUUAACAUUCCAUCCUCACUGGUGUUCUUAUUGGCAUUUGAGGCAAUUAGUUUGCUAAAUAUGUAAUUGGUACUGCUGAGCUACCAUUUCAUUGUUUGCAUAUGGUCAUGUAAUAGUUAUAAUGCACCUUUUUCUGUACGCCGGUGCAUAUACUAGAGUAACAUGGUUCCUGGAUAAUGUGGAAAAGAAUCUGGCCAUUAUAUAUAUGUUUAUAUCUAGGAUAUAUUUAUUCUGACUUUAUUUUCUGGAUAAUCCUCUCUUUGUUUUCUGACUUAGUGGGCAUUGCUCUGUAGUAUGUUGUUCAAGUAAGAAAGGAAUAUAAUUCACAAGGUGAAGAAUUCUAUCACAAUGUACCCAUUCAAUUGCCCAAUGCCCAUGUCAUCUGUUUGUUGUCUUCUCAGGUUAGUGGAUAUGCCUGUAAGACAACUAGCAUCAAAGAUGGUGUAAAUCAGUUUGAUCUCCAGCAGAGGAAGUAGUAGCUUGUUUUCAGGAAUUGGUUCAGUUUUCAGAAGUCCAACAGUGGCAGCGGCAGCGGCUGCAGCUCUGGGACCUAUUGGCUUUCAGGUUAUGUACCAUUAUGAUUUCAUCAAAAGCUUGGCUGUCCCUUUCUGAUUUUUAGGAGCAAGCCCACCAUAGCAUGGAUAGUCAAAUAUCAGCUUGUGCAGGUAAGCUGCAUAAGACCAACGAGGUUUCAAGUGUCAGGUAUGUGGAAUUUCACUUUCCUGAAACAAUGUGGUAGUCUUUGCUUGCCUGUUAUUUUUCUAAGUAAUUCCAUGAUUGAUCUUUUGAUGAAUAAUUACUUUAAUUAGGAAAGAACUUUUGAUCUUUCCUGUAACAUUUCGAUUUUCAAUAGCAUAGCACUUUCAAGCUUUUAAUUGUUGCUUCUAUAAAAUAGGUGAUGCGAGUCCUCUAGCAAAUCAAGGCUUGGAGGAAAGUCGUUCCUUUUCAGGCAUACUUAAUAGUUCUUUCUUGUCUUUGCAUAAUGACAAUUUUCAGUAAUGAACCUUGGUCAAUUAGUUCAAUACUGGUCUAUGUUUUUAAAGCGGUAAGGCGAGGCGAGGCGAUCCACCACCGCCUUAUCGCCUAGGCGACGCCUAGGCGGGCUAAGGUGGGCUAAGGUGAGACCUUAAGCAAGGUGAGCCGCCACCGCCUUGUCGCCUAGGCGACGCCUUGAAAACAGAGAUACUGGUGGACUCAAACUGUUUGACAAAUUUUAAAAAUGAUAUCGAUAAUGCCCACCCCAUUCGUUUUAUCUUUCCAAUGCUUAUUUCCUGAUUCCCAAAUCCUCAUCCCAUUUGAAAAUAUGUAUUUAUGAGUUUACUAGGUUUAAAGAGCUUCUCACACUGGUUUUUCUGUCAGCUCCUCUGAAAUCUGAAUUGCAUGUUUCCUCCUGAAAAAUACCUCCCAAUACCAGCAUGGUAAAAGAUUGAAAUUUUUCUAACUUGAAAUUCGUUUAUAACAUUUCAUAUCGUGCAGAUUUUCUGAAAAUUGGAACUCAACUUCUGCAUACAAAAUGCAGCUAAUUAUAUCAGUGAGGUGAAGCUGUACCUAACUUGAUUUCUUGGUGCUGAGAUGGCUCCUAGCCUGCUAAUGAGGAUGUUAAACUCUUGGUUGAAGACAUUGGCGAGCUCAAACCAACAGUAUUCUGUGCUGUUCCACAUGUUCUGGACAGGAAUUAUUGAGCUGGGGCCUCUGAGCUGCACAGAGAAGGGCUUUUACCCGUUGAUCGAUCAAUCCUGGAAUGUACAUUAAGGAUGGAAUAAUCUAAGGUAUACAACUUUUCUUGAAAAGAUUGAAAUAAUUCUAUGGUUUUGCAUGUUGUUUUGCCUUUUCUUUUACUGCAAUAAUGUUGUGUGCCUUUUCCUCAAGGAUUGCAAAAGAAAAAGGAUUAUUUCCCUGAUCAUUGUCUUUUGAUGCUCACUGCCUUGUAAUGAAAAUUCCCAAUGUCCCUUUUUAUCUACCACCAGAAGCAUUAGAGAAUUAUCUUUUGCAUAUGUUAAGAUUUUUGUUGAUCUAUAGUGAUGCUCCAAGGUUUCAAUCUAGAGGAUAUCAUCAUCAUUAUUGAUAUAUUUGAUCACCCUACAGCUUUGCCUUUGCACCAUCUCUCUAUGUGCACAAGCAAGACAAAGCUUUAGGAGCAGAUCAAGGUGCGUUCCGUUUUUUCUUCUCUUGAGACAAAGGCCCCAAUGGCUAUUUGUCAUGCCCAUUCAUAGCAUUACUUGCUUAACCUUGAAAGUAGCCAAGUUAAUCUAGCAAAAUGCACUAAUUUCUGGUGCUUGGCCCAUGCUGAGUAUACUCCUAAGAUCCACCACUGAUGCAGUCCAUAUAGAUGACUGGUUCAAUAUUAUGUUCUGACAGAUCUGGAUUGUAAUAGUUUGAUAACCAAUUUAGUUUCAGACUUAUUUGUGUAACCAGCUAAACAUGGAAUUUAGCAUUUUUACUAAUAAAUAGUGGUAGCACUACCAUCCUAAAUCUAUAGGGAUAGCCAUUUCAUAUUAAAUAGCAUGCACUUUUUUCCAAACCAAAUCUCAUGAUGUCACUGACUGUUGCUUCUCAAACAGUUAGAACAACUCGUGCAGUGUUACCUUACAGAGGUGAUGUUUAUACAUAUUCCCCCAUUAGUCGUCUUGGUUCAUGAUGGUUGGAUUGGCUGCUUGUUCAGACAGAGGUAAUGCUGAUAUUUCACACACAAAUAUAUGGUGGCUUUGGCAUGAGUUAUUCUAAUGAUUAAGCUCAUAUUGCCUCAAGCAUAGGAAUUUGUUGGUUUAAUCUACCACUUGAUACUCUUUGACUACUUUUUGAAUGGCAAAAUUCAGUGCCUUCAGGUAUUAAUAAGUUUAGCAUCUUUGAAAUUUCUUGCUUUGUCAAAUUUUGUAAAUUGUUCAUGACAUUCCUUUGAGUUGCUAACUUUCUCAUUCUUUCACAUGAAACAAAGAUAUGCCACUAUGAGUAUCUUAUUGGGUGCUUGAGCUGGAUUGUCCAUUGUUCUCUCUUAUUGGUUAAGCCAACCACGUACAAAUUGGCUCGUGUGCUGGCUCGAUCGGGCGAGCAAUCGGCUUAUUUGGUCUUCCGGUGUUGUAUCCCUUGAUGCUUCCAGGAAAUUGGAUACUCUGAUUUUUGAGUGAAUGAAUAGAGCCAAACUUGACCUAAAAAAAAAUAUCGCCCUAAGUGGGUUCACAUGUCUAGGCAAAAUGAAAGUCGAUCUAAGUGAUUCAUAAAUGAAACCUUUUGCGCUCUCCUCGUUUGGUAGCGAUUGUAGCAUUCCUGGCUGAGUUGCGAAACAAGGUUUUUAUAUAAUUUGAUGUUUAAUGAAUUUCUUGUGAGAAUAUGUAAUUUAUUUUAAAACACGUGCGUGCGCAUGUGCGCUCUACUAACUUAUACAUACCAUUUACCUUUUUUAUAAUUAUACACUUUUUCAUAUUUUGGAUAUUUUUGUCUAUUUUCAUCACAGUUGAGACCUUGUUGCUUGAUUUCACCAUAUAUAGUUUUUUAAAAAUGUUUGUUGCAACAAAAAUUUGGUGUGGUUAUUCACAAUGCCUAUGACAUGUUCGAUCAAUUGGCGGGCUACAUUCAUGAAGCCUAAAUCUGUUGCCUGGGUGCAUGGUGCCUUCCGGACAGGUACCUGAACUGAUCCCUAAAUUCGAAUGGCCUCCAUGUUAGCCAUAACUAAGAAGUGCAUUAUUAUGUCAUAAUCAUUAUCAUUAGGGAAAGCAUCUGCUUUGAAUUCUUGAACUCCGCAGGGUGAUACAAAGGAACAAGCAUUACUCCUGGUAUGAUCGUUUGAAGCAUUGAGUUUUGUAUUUGCAUUAUUCAAUUCAGAGCCCAUGCGUGAGGGGAGGUAGGGGAGCAGGACAGGCGCCUGGCGAAGGCAUGGGGCGGAACGACAUGAGGAAGACGAAGCGCGCGGGGAAGAGGAAGAGAGAAGGCGCAGGCGUUGGGUGUAACGAUACUAUCGGCGGCGGCUCGUGUUAAUUUGUGUGGACGCAGCUCUCCGCAUAGUCUAACGCGGGAGUGCUCUGUGCUUAGUGGCAUUCCAAUUAUGAUCAUACCAACUUAUAGCACGCGUGUGCUGUGCGGGCAUUGUUACUAUUAAGCCAAAUAACUCUUGCGCCAUCUGCCAGAUUGCAACACAAAUAAAUGGACAUAUGCACGUGCGGACUUCAAAUUCUA